UUUGAUUGUGAUUUUUAGGUAUGAUUAAAAAUGGAAUGGUUACGCUCAAUUUAGGUACAAUUUUUAGAUGGACGCGACUAGCCAGCACCCGUUGGCUGGCUAGUGUUCCAGGGCACACACCCCAAAUUAGGUAGUAGGCCUUUCCCCGUAUCCAACAGGCAAACCAAAAAGGAAACAAACAGUCCCCCGCACACAUGGCCCCCAGGGGAGAAUCUGACAUGAUCGUAAUUUUUGCUCCGUGUAAGGCACAUGCCGAUGCACCAGACACCCGUCUCGCCUCCUUACCCCAGUCGUAGCCCCCCAAACAUGCCCUUCUCCGUUUGUCCUCUCCUCCAUUGCCACAACUGAUGCCCCCAAUUUUGGUGGUCAUUGAUCUAAGAUUCAGGUGUUCCUGAAUUCCCCAACCCACAACCUCCUCUUGCCCUCUUUCAACGAAUCCAACACCUGAAAAAGCGAGUUUCCAUCUUGAUGUGCCUUCUAAUACGCCUCCUCUUUUACAAAACUAUGUGAAACCAAUGGUGUAUCAGUGAGGGAAUAUACAAACAACAUGGCAGUUAAGGAUCUGGAACUAAGGUUUCUGGCAUGCAAAAAAUGUGUCUUUUUUGGGCAAGUUAAUAUGAUAUGCAGGCAAGUCUGGAAUGAUUUUUAGGCAACUCGUGCUGAAAACACGGGCAAAACCCUCUCUUAAAAGUACAGUUCUAGUUUAUGCUGGGAUUUUUUGCAAGUAUCUGCACAAAAUUGUAGGUUGCGCCAGGCUGUUGUUUUUUGGUUGAUCUUCAAGCUUGUCAAAGCUGUUGGGCGAGUUGUGUAUAUGUGUAGGCAAUCAGGGAGGAAAAAAAUGCAGUCAACUCAUGUUUCUUGUGUGGUAGAAAAAUAAAUUAAGGAAAAAAUAAGUCUUGAAAGUUACAGUGUUUGGCUGUUACUAGUGAAUUUUUGGGCAAAUAUCUCCUUAAACUACAUGUUGCUCAAUUGUAGCAGUAGCUAAUGUGUUUUGUUGUGAAUAUUGCUACUGGAUUUUGGGCCAUGUAUCUUUCUAAGGCUUUAUUGUAAUUGUAGUUAUUGUGUUUGUUGUGCUUCUAGAUGUUCACAUAUCUAGGCAAGUUUCUAUAGUGUUUGGGCAAGUAGGGAAUGGUUUAGAGGCAACUCAUGUUUAUUUGGUUGUGUGAAAAAAGAAACAUAACCCUCUUGAAGUUCUGGUUUUAGCUUUUGAUUUGGAUUUAGGACAGGUAUCUCAUGGGGCUUAUGCUGUGUUUGCAGGUGAAAAAAGAAAUUGAUUUAUUGGCCACCCAUGGUCAAAACCUCGAGGAGCAAAAAACAGAUAAAAAAGUUUUCGCCUUUAUAUGGGUUUCUUCUAAGCAAAAACUUGCAUGUAAAGUUCAGGCAAAAUUGACCCAUAUUUUGCUUGCACAAUAUUUAACUAAACCCAUGAAGGUUUGAUUUUUCCUCACCUUGUUCAUCCUGAUUGCAACUGUUUUUUCAGUGUUUUCCUAUCUUUUCUUCCAGCAUGAGCAGCUAGUGUUGACUUAUACUGCACCUG
RNAcentral lists this long non-coding RNA (1537 nucleotides) under Triticum aestivum (bread wheat). Its description in RNAcentral is "long non-coding RNA (TAES_LNC007285)". The record is from RNAcentral. Lineage: Eukaryota; Viridiplantae; Streptophyta; Magnoliopsida; Poales; Poaceae.